Perca fluviatilis (European perch) is the source of this 1204-nucleotide long non-coding RNA. RefSeq lists it as uncharacterized. The transcript has 3 exons. The record is from RefSeq and is a predicted model, not a curated record. Lineage: Eukaryota; Metazoa; Chordata; Actinopteri; Perciformes; Percidae.
ACUACAGAAAUAUAUGUAGCAUUUGGUUUGUGUUGGCACAUUAGUUUAUCCAGUAUGAUCAUAGACAUAUAUGAAAAGUUUACAGUAUUGUAAUUGGCUGUUAAUCUCUUUGGGCUAAAUUGAUUGGUUGUGAUCAAAUGGUCACAAGACCAGAGGAGGUUUAAAAAGGGAGAAAUAUUGCUGCACUUCUAUCAGAGACUUCAUUUGGUAUUGACCUCAAGCAGACCAACACAGCAACAUUUAUAAUACACAGUCUGAUUGAUCAGAGCAGACGAGAUGAACCUUGUUCUCCUGAUCACCAUCACGUUCACUCUUGCCCUUGUUCAUGGGAACAAUAUGCCUUGUGUGUAUAACCCUGACAACAAUGCUUACAACAGAUUUGUUUGGAAACACAUCAUUAAACAGCCCUUUAACAGAAACUCUAAGAGUGACUGGCAAAUGUACAUAAGGAACCGUGGACUCUGCGGCAGACCUUACCAGUCCUUCUUCGAGCCCUGGGAUCAAGGACAUAUUGUGCAGAUCUGUCAAGGCUAUGGCCGCCCACUGUUAAAUCCUAGCGUAGGUAACUUAUGCAUCAGUCCCUAUAUGCUGCCAAUUUAUUAUGUUGAGGUUGACAACAAUUGCGUAGUUAAAAAUUUAUUUUAUUACAUGAAUCAUGUUAUUGUGGCUUGUGAUAGGAUUGCAAACCAGUGCCUUCCUGUCCAUUUUGAGAGCUACAUCGGCCAAAUCCCAGACAUGAGUGCUAAUCCCUGCAUGUAAAUGCUGCUUAGAAUAGGCCACAUUUUUGGAGGUUAGUAGACAUUGGAUUCCAGAUGUCGGGCCCAUUAUUGGCCUGACAUCUAAAACCUCUGUCGAGCCUAAACGACGCCUUUUUUGCUUACAUAAGAAAACAUUGGUAUGUAAUUUAAAGCUACAUUAUAUUCUCUGUUACAUAUUUGUUUGUACCAUGUUGUGGGAUGAGCAUGAUUUAAAGAAACAUGUGCCAUGCAGGAACGGAAACAUUACAUUUCUAAAUACCAUGGAGGAGAUGAGUUAGAGUAUUAUAUUAAACACAUUUUCAACUCAUUUCCAGCUAAAGCUUCUUUCUUCUUUCAAAAACUUUCUUGAACCCUAAUGGGUGCAUUAAAUGUUUGUAUCCUUUUCUUUGAUGAGUUCAAUUCAUAAUGCCACUCUGUGUAAUCCUCUUACUGUCAAACUAAUGUUC